GGAAAUGUGCCUGAGCCCUAAGGGCCACUAUGAUAAAGUGGACACGGAGGUGCACCAACCCUCCCAUUUCCU
Molecule: transfer RNA, 72 nt
Filed under: Philentoma pyrhoptera (rufous-winged Philentoma)
Lineage: Eukaryota; Metazoa; Chordata; Aves; Passeriformes; Prionopidae
Description: tRNA-Ile
Source: RNAcentral